AUACGUAGGUGACAAGCGUUAUCCGGAAUUACUGGGCGUAAAGAGCUCGUAGGUGGUUUGUCGCGUCGUCUGUGAAAUUCCGGGGCUUAACUCCGGGCGUGCAGGCGAUACGGGCAUAACUUGAGUACUGUAGGGGAGACUGGAAUUCCUGGUGUAGCGGUGAAAUGCGCAGAUAUCAGGAGGAACACCGGUGGCGAAGGCGGGUCUCUGGGCAGUAACUGACGCUGAGGAGCGAAAGCAUGGGUAGCGAACAGGAUUAGAUACCCUGGUAGUCCAUGCCGUAAACGGUGGGCGCUAGGUGUAGGGGUCUUCCACGACUUCUGUGCCGUAGCUAACGCAUUAAGCGCCCCGCCUGGGGAGUACGGCCGCAAGGCUAAAACUCAAAGGAAUUGACGGGG
Molecule: ribosomal RNA, 398 nt
Filed under: uncultured bacterium
Lineage: Bacteria
Description: partial 16S ribosomal RNA
Rfam family: Bacterial small subunit ribosomal RNA
Source: RNAcentral